Molecule: ribosomal RNA, 136 nt
Filed under: uncultured bacterium
Lineage: Bacteria
Description: partial 16S ribosomal RNA
Rfam family: Bacterial small subunit ribosomal RNA
Source: RNAcentral
UGGGGAAUUUUGCGCAAUGGGGGAAACCCUGACGCAGCAACGCCGCGUGCGGGAUGCGGCCCUCGGGUUGUAAACCGCUUUCAGCAGGGAAGAUAUUGACGGUACCUGCAGAAGAAGCUCCGGCUAACUACGUGCC